UCUUGCACAUAUUUCGUGCAUCGGGCCUCUAGUAAAGUUAUAAAAAUACUAGAGGCCCAAUGCAUGAAAUUUGUGCAAGAGU
This 82-nucleotide microRNA precursor is filed under the name Myotis brandtii (Brandt's bat). Its description in RNAcentral is "mir-9243 microRNA precursor family". It matches the Rfam family "mir-9243 microRNA precursor family". The record is from Rfam by way of RNAcentral. Lineage: Eukaryota; Metazoa; Chordata; Mammalia; Chiroptera; Vespertilionidae.